Molecule: ribosomal RNA, 492 nt
Filed under: uncultured bacterium
Lineage: Bacteria
Description: SSU rRNA
Rfam family: Bacterial small subunit ribosomal RNA
Source: RNAcentral
AGAAUCAACGCUGGCGGCGUGCCUCAGACAUGCAAGUCGAACGCGAAAGUUUCCUUCGGGAAACAAGUAGAGUGGCGCACGGGUGAGUAACACGUAGGUAAUCUACCUUUGGAUGGGGAAUAACAACCGGAAACGGUUGCUAAUACCGCAUAAUGCAGCGGCACCUAAUGGUGACAGUUGUUAAAGCGGGGGAUCGAAAGACCUCGCGUCUAAAGAGGAGCCUGCGGCGGAUUAGCUAGUUGGUAAGGUAACGGCUUACCAAGGCUACGAUCCGUAGCCGGCCUGAGAGGGCGGUCGGCCACGACUGACACUGACAUACGGGUCAGACUCCUACGGGAGGCAGCAGUCGGGAAUUUUGGGCAAUGGGCGAAAGCCUGACCCAGCAACGCCGCGUGAAGGAUGAAGUUUUUCGGAAUGUAAACUUCGUAAAAAUAGGAAGAAUAAAUGACGGUACUAUUUGUAAGGUCCGGCUAAUUACGUGCCAGCAGCCGC